ACGGCGUGUUGGGGACAUUUCUUGAUGAUGUCCUAUAAUCUUUCCCAUGCCUCAUGGAACUGCUCACUAUCAUGCUGAAAAAAGCUAGUGAGAGCUCACCUU
This 102-nucleotide small nucleolar RNA is filed under the name Cephalotus follicularis. RNAcentral describes it as "Plant small nucleolar RNA R71". It matches the Rfam family "Plant small nucleolar RNA R71". From Rfam's summary of the family: R71 is a member of the C/D box family of snoRNAs containing the C (UGAUGA) and D (CUGA) box motifs. Multiple nearly identical copies of this snoRNA have been identified in Arabidopsis, and it is thought to function as a 2'-O-ribose methylation guide for 18S ribosomal RNA. The record is from Rfam by way of RNAcentral. Lineage: Eukaryota; Viridiplantae; Streptophyta; Magnoliopsida; Oxalidales; Cephalotaceae.